Molecule: long non-coding RNA, 3232 nt
Filed under: Sinocyclocheilus grahami
Lineage: Eukaryota; Metazoa; Chordata; Actinopteri; Cypriniformes; Cyprinidae
Description: lncRNA (ENSSGRG00000034188.1)
Source: RNAcentral
CUGCAAACUGCCUCUGCACUUCUUCAGUCUACAUCGUCGCAAAUCACACCAACCAAUGCAAAGAUUACAGAGCCUUCUGUUACAACCUCAACUUCCUCCAGCAGAAGUGUCACAGAUCAGACGGCAUUUUCUGAAUCCACAAGGACAAUGACUGCAGGAUCUUCAUUUCUGUCCUCUGACGCAUCUUCUGGAACAUCACACUCCACUGCGAACACAUCACAACAGUCACCAGACCAAACUCAAGCCUCAAUCACAUCAGAUGAUUUGGAUUCUACGUCCAUCACGGCAGAGCCAUCAUUUACAACCUCAAUGUCAGCUACAAAUACAAAGCAAACUUCCCAAAGUGCAACAGAGCCGACGGAGGAAUCAUUAACAACUGACCCACCGGAUGACACAACUGAUACUGAAAUAGCAUCGACUAUCAAAACACAUGUGGAAUCGACUACAAAUGCAAUUUCAGCCGUCGACGACACUGCAUCAGCCACAGAAAAUAACACUGAACAUUUAACUGAUGUGUUUUGGUCCUCUUCUGAUAACACAACAUGGAAUGAGUUUACAUUGAUAGACGACUUUAAUAGCACACUGAUAACCUUAAAUGAAACAACAUCUCAAUCAGAAAGUCUGCUAACUGACGGUCAAGAAACUCUGACACCUGUGAUGGAAUCGCAAUCAUCUCAGUCCGCAACAACUGACGCAACUCUAAAUCCAAGUCUGGUUACUUCCUCAGACUCAACAACACUGGUUGAGACCUCAAGCCCUGUCAUAGCAGCACAAGUUACAGCUACACCUAAAAUCCCCAACCCAGAGCACUCGCAAACACCUGUAACUGCUUUCACAGCAUCAACAUCUACAACAACACCAACGCCGGGAACAGUUUCAAGACAAGCAAUGACACCUGAUUCAAAGCCCACAUCUAUGAACACGCCCUCAAUGUUUCUGACCACUCAGGAAAAUCAGAAAACGAACACAAACGCCUCCUUAAAACCAUUUUCUCCAGCUUCUCCUCUCACAGCCACAAGCAGUGACCCUAAACCUGUCACCACUCCAUUAGCUGAGGAACACAAAGGCUCAACUGUGGGCAUAUCAAUUCAAACAGUGCUAAACAGGUCUGAUUCAGAAGGCACUACAAUCACAGACACCUGGUCAAACAGCAUAUCUUCAACACCAGCAGGUCUAACAAAUCCGCCAUUAUCAAGCAACACCAGCAGAGACGGAAACACAGAUGAUUCUGCAAACUCAGUGAAAAGCACCAUUGUUUUUGUCUUCAACAUUCCCAAAGUACCUGUGUUUAAAACAAUCACCUUCAAUCACCCACUGGUUAAUCAAGUCACAGUCAUGAACACAGUUUUAAAACCAUGAAACGGUCACAUAAAAUGACUUAAAAGCAAAAUGUGUGAUUCAGAGAGCAUAUAUUUGGCUACUUGUAUACGUGACAAUUGUGGAAGAGUCAAAAAGAGAAACUUCCAGCUAAAUGCAUCUUAAUGGAGAGAGAUUGGGAAUAUAAGGAAUGUAGAAGCCGAAGUGUUUUUGUGGUUACUUAACAGAGAGGAAGGCAAUGUCAAUUAUUUAAAUGUCAAGCAGACCAUACUGUAUGACUACAUGCUUUAAAACAAGCCAACACACACAAAAAAAGAUUGAAACCAAAACAAAUGAGAUGGACGAACAGGUGUAAUGUUUUAUGAAGACUAACUUUCAUUUCAACAAUCUAGGUGGGGCGAACAAUUGAUGCGUGAGUCUGUAGCAUAGCUUCUUAAUAAUUUAUUUGCAAUAAUAUAAUAAGAGUAUCAAUUGAAAAUUUCAUAACAUGCAAAUACUCAAACACAAACAAUAAUGAUCAAACAUAAACUUAAUUAUAUUCAAAUUAGUAAAUCAGUCCAUUCAGUCCAAAAUAUGAAAUUAGAAAAAGAAAUGGCUCCAACAUUCCGGCCCCUAAUUGUCAACUUGUGACAAUUCUAAUAAUUCAUUCAAAAAAGGAGCCAUGAUUUUUAACAAAAGUAACAAAAAAAAAGAAAGAAAAAAAAGCAAAAAAUUGUCCAAAAGUGUCAUAGAGUCUUCUGGUCAGUUUCUUCAGAUGCUCAUGACAUGUCUUUUAGGAAGCAUAAUUUGAUAAUAGGUCUCUCCAUGAUACUGUUCUUUGUCCUCACUUUAACUCUGCGUACAUACCUUUUGCUGUCCAGAAAUGUCUCCAAAAUUUGACCUAAAGGCCAAGAGUUCCAUGGUGAAGUAUCAUCGAUAAUGAGAACAAUAUCACCAGUUUUAAGGUUUUGUUUGCUUUUGUUCCACUUCUGCCUCUUCUGCAUUAGCGGGAGGUACUCUCUAAUCCAGCGUUUCCAGAAAAGGUCGCAAAUAUACUAUACUUGUUUCCAUCUUCUUCUGGAAUAAAUGUCAUCCUUCUGAAAAAUCCCAGGAGGCUAAAUAGGAACACCUUUCAUCUGAAGCAAAUUAUUAGGGGUUAAGGCUUCUGGAUCUUUAGCAUCCUCUGAAACUGCAGUGAUUGGAUGAUUGUUGAGUAUGGCUUCCACUUCACAUAAAGCAGUCUGUAGGCCUUCAUCAUCAAGGGUCUCCUGUCUCAGGAUGGAGUAUAGGAUCUUUUUGAGAAUUCAAAUUAUUCGUUCCCAUACACCUCCAUGAUGAGAAUCUAAAGGAGGAUUGAAAGUCCACUUCACAUUCUCUCUCAGCAGUACCUUCUGUAUUUUAUCUUGGUUGAUGUCAGCAAGUGCUUCUCUCAAUUCUCACUCUGCCCCGAUGAAGUUGGUUCCAUUAUCCAAAAUUAUCUCCUUGACUUGACCCCUUCUACACGUAAAUCUUCUGAGAGCACAAAUACAGGAAUCUGUGUUCAGAGAAUAGGCCACUUCAAGAUGAACAGCUCUACUAUUAAAGCAGGUAAAUAUCACUCCAUAUCUUUUGACAUGAGCUCUCCCCCUCUUCACCUCAAUGGGACCAAAGUAAUCGAUUCCAACGUGACUGAAAGGUGGUAAAUCAGGAGUGAUUCGAUUUAGGGUUAAGUCUGCCAUCUUUUGUUCACUUGCAGAUCCAUGCCAACGUCUACAGAAAAGGCAAUCUCUGAUGACUUUCCUGGCAGUAGUAUUACCUCUGGUAAUCCAAUAUCUUUUAUGGAGUUUAGCAAGCAGUUGGCUUCUACCACAAUGACCUGACAUAUUGUGAAUAUUGUUCAUUGACAGUCUACACAGAUGACUAUUGUUAGGUAGAAUAGCUCAGUGUUAAUUUUGAC